This 1092-nucleotide ribosomal RNA is filed under the name Triticum aestivum (bread wheat). Its description in RNAcentral is "partial small subunit ribosomal RNA". The record is from RNAcentral. Lineage: Eukaryota; Viridiplantae; Streptophyta; Magnoliopsida; Poales; Poaceae.
AUGGGGGCAUGCAUGACGUUGUCGACGUGCUCACCGGAGGCGGCUGAAGGCACGCAUGUGUUCGACAUCUUGGGUUACAGCAAGCACAUGGGCAUGGGGCAAGACCCCGGUAGCUACAUACAAUCAGGGGUUUUCACUGUCGGCGGCCACAACUGGGCGAUCCGCUUCUAUCCUGAUGGGUAUAAAAGCGAGAAUCGAGACUACAUCGCAGUUUUUCUCGAGCUUAUGAGCAAGAGCACUAAAGUCCGGGCCUCUUGUGACCUGAGGCUGGUCGACCAGUGCACCGGAUUACGGUCUUCAGUGAUCAAAACAGGGCCUAGGAUUUUCAAGUCCAACGAUUCCAGUCGGUAUGCUCCAGGGACUGCUCAGUUCAAAAGGCGAAGCGAGAUCGAGGGAUCCGCAUACCUUAAGGAUGAUCGCCUGAUGAUUGAAUGCAUUGUUACUGUUUUCAAGAAGCCACGUGUUACCAAAACCACCGUAGCCAAAUCGCCGCCCAAAAUUGACAGGCCACCAUCUGACAUGGCUCAGCAUGUUGGCAUGCUGCUGGAAGAAAAGGAGGGAUUGGAUGUCAGUUUCAUUGUUGGAGGGGAGACCAUUGAAGCGCAUAGGCUCGUUCUCGCUAUGCGGUCGCCUGUUCUUAAGGCGGAGCUCUACGGUCCAAUGAGGGAGGCGAGGCCGGGGCAGUGCAUUACCGUCAAGGAUAUGCAGCCAUCCAUCUUCAGGGCCCUGCUCCAUUUCAUCUAUACCGAUUCUUUGCCUGGCCGUGGGGACUUCAAGGGAGAAGAGAAUAUUGAGAUGAUCCGGCUUUUACUGGUGGCUGCGGACAGAUAUGCCAUGGAGAGGCUCAAGAUGGUUUGCCAAAGCAUCCUUUGCGAGCAUCUGAAUGUGGACACCGUGUCAACCACAUUGGCUUUAGCUGACCAAUAUAACUGUGAUAAGCUUAAGGAUGCUUGCCUUGAAUUUAUCAAAAUAUCAGAUGAUAACACUAUGGACGCCAUAGUGGCAACCCAAGGCUUCAAAGAUCUCAAAGUGACUUGCCCAUCUCUCAUAGUGGACGCACUAGAGAACAGAAGAAAACUUCGUAAAGCAUGA